GUUCAGAGAACUGAAAUCUCUCCGUGCGGAGACCUAAAUGCAGUUUUCUGAGAAGCUGUAUAACUGGCCGGGCUUGUUUAAAGUUAAGAGUUUAACUCUAUUGACUUUACUGCUUUGCUGUUCGGUUGUACUUGAGUGACUUCAUUAAAGAGGAGGGUAGUUACUUAAUCGCACAAUCCAACCUACCAGUGUCACUCGCAGUUUCCUGUUCUAUUCUUAUUCGGUGAGCUGAGAGUGAAUCCUUUUUCACGAGACCUUUUUUUCAAGAUCUCUUCGUGAUUUCAUUUGAACAAAAAUCUUCUCCUUACUCUGCGAGAUUUAUUUCUGAGCAUUUUCUUAAGAGAGCGUGUUGGAAAAUAGCACUUUGGGAUUUGCUUUAAACACGUGUCUAGUUUGGUUAAUGUCCUUUGAAACGCUACACGGCUGCAUGGGAGGACGCUGGCAUACAUUGUAAGGGAUAGCUGGCGUCUCCACACACCCCGCUUACCUUCAUUUAGCAUCUGUAAUACAGUAAUGCUUUAGGCCCUCUAUGAAUCCCUCAUAAAGCAGCCAUUGUGUACUCACAAUUCCUAAAGAGUUUAUCCUCUAAGAGCAGGAGACAAUUAGUGCCCAAGACAAGGGGCAGCCCAACAGGACAGCGAGAGGUUGAGGAGCUGUGGCCGCGGCCCAGCUGAGCAGAUGCUGCUGCCUCGCAGCGGGGACGGUGUUUGAGGAGGGCCUCGGAGGACAGCAGUGCAGGAUCUGUGCAGCCGCUGCUGGUUUCCCUUGGGCUGGGCAGUUCCCGUGUACCUUCAUAUUUAGCAAGUGAUGGAGUGCUGGUGCUGCCGUGACACAGGCACGGCCGCUGAGAACACAGACAUAUACACUUCUUCAGAAGUUCUCUGGAUGUUUCCAUUUGUCAGGUUUCAUAUUUUCUUCGGUGGCAGACCUGCCACAGUUAGCAGUGAAGAAAAGGCUAGUAGAAACUGGCAGAUAGAUGACCUUAACUGGGAUCAAUACAAAAAGCUUCAGGAGCUUAUGAAAUAAAACGCUUUGAAGUAAAAUGCAAAAUUGGAUUUCACAAGCCAUCAUUACUGUUUGUCACUUUGGGGAGGGGAGAGUGAGACCUAUAUGCUGUAUUUAAAGUGUUCACAUAGGAACAGAACAUGAAUGAGUUGAGUUCAGAGCAGACUUUAAAGAUAAUAUUGCCCGUGAGCAAAUUACUUCAAAGUUCUCUUGCUUACAGGGUGUGGGGGAAGUCUAAGUAAUAAACUGGUUGAUUUUGUGUGUCA
RNAcentral lists this long non-coding RNA (1271 nucleotides) under Anser brachyrhynchus (Pink-footed goose). RNAcentral's name for it is "lncRNA (ENSABRG00000021977.1)". Lineage: Eukaryota; Metazoa; Chordata; Aves; Anseriformes; Anatidae. The record is from RNAcentral.